RNAcentral lists this ribosomal RNA (433 nucleotides) under uncultured bacterium. RNAcentral describes it as "partial 16S ribosomal RNA". It matches the Rfam family "Bacterial small subunit ribosomal RNA", at positions 29 to 507 of the family's 1533-position model. The record is from RNAcentral.
AACGAACGCUGGCGGCAUGCCUAACACAUGCAAGUCGAACGAGACCUUCGGGUCUAGUGGCGCACGGGUGCGUAACGCGUGGGAACCUGCCCUUAGGUUCGGAAUAACUCCCCGAAAGGGGUGCUAAUACCGGAUAAUGUCUUCGGACCAAAGAUUUAUCGCCUUUGGAUGGGGCCGCGUUGGAUUAGCUAGUUGGUAGGGUAAAAGCCUACCAAGGCGACGAUCCAUAGCUGGUCUGAGAGGAUGAUCAGCCACACUGGGACUGAGACACGGCCCAGACUCCUACGAGAGGCAGCAGUGGGGAAUAUUGGACAAUGGGCGAAAGCCUGAUCCAGCAAUGCCGCGUGAGUGAUGAAGGCCUUAGGGUUGUAAAGCUCUUUUACCCGGGAUGAUAAUGACAGUACCGGGAGAAUAAGCUCCGGCUAACUCCGUG